GAUGAACGCUGGCGGCGUGCCUAAUACAUGCAAGUCGAGCGAACGGACGAGAAGCUUGCUUCUCUGAUGUUAGCGGCGGACGGGUGAGUAACACGUGGAUAACCUACCUAUAAGACUGGGAUAACUUCGGGAAACCGGAGCUAAUACCGGAUAAUAUUUUGAACCGCAUGGUUCAAAAGUGAAAGACGGUCUUGCUGUCACUUAUAGAUGGAUCCGCGCUGCAUUAGCUAGUUGGUAAGGUAACGGCUUACCAAGGCAACGAUGCAUAGCCGACCUGGGAGGGUGAUCGGCCACACUGGAACUGAGACACGGUCCAGACUCCUACGGGAGGCAGCAGUAGGGAAUCUUCUGCAAUGGGCGAAAGCCUGACGGAGCAACGCCGCGUGAGUGAUGAAGGUCUUCGGAUCGUAAAACUCUGUUAUUAGGGAAGAACAUAUGUGUAAGUAACUGUGCACAUCUUGACGGUACCUAAUCAGAAAGCCACGGCUAACUACGUG
RNAcentral lists this ribosomal RNA (497 nucleotides) under uncultured bacterium. RNAcentral's name for it is "partial 16S ribosomal RNA". It matches the Rfam family "Bacterial small subunit ribosomal RNA", at positions 28 to 507 of the family's 1533-position model. The record is from RNAcentral.